GGCACAAGCGGUGGAUGAUGUGGAUUAAUUCGAUGCAACGCGAAAACCUUACCUACCCUUGACAUGUCCGGAAUCCCGAAGAGAUUUGGGAGUGCUCGCAAGAGAGCCGGAACACAGGUGCUGCAUGGCUGUCGUCAGCUCGUGUCGUGAGAUGUUGGGUUAAGUCCCGCAACGAGCGCAACCCUUGUCAUUAGUUGCCAUCAUUUGGUUGGGCACUCUAAUGAGACUGCCGGUGACAAACCGGAGGAAGGUGGGGAUGACGUCAAGUCCUCAUGGCCCUUAUGGGUAGGGCUUCACACGUCAUACAAUGGUCGGUACAGAGGGUUGCCAACCCGCGAGGGGGAGCUAAUCCCACAAAGCCGAUCGUAGUCCGGAUCGCAGUCUGCAACUCGACUGCGUGAAGUCGGAAUCGCUAGUAAUCGUGGAUCAGCAUGUCACGGUGAAUACGUUCCCGGGUCUU
Molecule: ribosomal RNA, 460 nt
Filed under: uncultured Rhodocyclaceae bacterium
Lineage: Bacteria; Pseudomonadati; Pseudomonadota; Betaproteobacteria; Rhodocyclales; Rhodocyclaceae
Description: bacterial SSU rRNA
Rfam family: Bacterial small subunit ribosomal RNA
Source: RNAcentral